ACUCCAACAUAUUCAAAAGUGGUC
RNAcentral lists this non-coding RNA (24 nucleotides) under Arabidopsis thaliana (thale cress). Lineage: Eukaryota; Viridiplantae; Streptophyta; Magnoliopsida; Brassicales; Brassicaceae. The record is from RNAcentral.